UAUACUCAUUGAAAGGACGAGUUCACUAAUUAACAUUAUUAUACAAAAUAUCUUUUGAAAGAAUUUUUUUUAUCUUUCAAUUAAAUUUACUUAUAUUAAUUGUUUGAAAUCACGAUAGAUUUUAAAAAAAGAAAAGAAAAUAAAAAUACCUGAAAAUAAGAUAACUAAUAUAGCGAUGAAAGAUACUUUUCGAAAGUGUUGACGAAACGACAUUGUUGAGCGAACUGAGAGUCGAGUUGAUCGCUGGGCCAGUGGGUCCCCUCAUCAGUACCUCGGCAAGGAUAACAGUUCAUGGGUGUACCGUUUACACUAACGUUAUUCUCGCCGUUUUAACUUUGCAUCUCAGACAUCACUGCAAUAAUCGAAAGUGAGAAAGUGGAAUGGUUGACCGAUGAAAGUAAUUGAAAGAAGAUCACGAUGCAUCUUAAUAUAUUUCUAGAUUUAUAUAUUCUAUGAAUUUCUAACCUGUGACUCGUGGCAUUAAGAGAUCUUAGUGACCUCGUAUUUGAGAAGAAGACUUGCACAACGGUGGAAGGUCGGCCGUUAGUCGGUUGAUCCAUGGCCAUGGCAAAAGUGCCGGGAGGCGCUUCUUCUCUCGCCAACGAAAGUAGGAUUACGCUUGAUUUUCACUCUCUGUGUUUUCGAUUACAUUUAACAAUCCAUUAACAUUAGGGGUUGUUCGACGACAUUUCUCGUAUCCGGUCAAACGAAAAAAAUAUGUGACCAGCAAGAAAAUACGUAGAGGUGCGUAAUGUCUUGUUAUUACACGUGUCCCUCCUUGGUAACGGGACAGGCAACCAAACCGACCGACCUACUUAUGCACGGACGUUCACAUACAUACAUGUCCACGCACGUUCACGCACGUCCACGCGCAGUCUCGUCCAAAGAAAUGCCUUAGGACUUGCCAUGCACUCCGCUUGCCAUACUGAGAUAAAACAAAUUUCAAAGACUCGAGGUCAAUCUCGACAUCUCUGUGAUUUAAGUGGCGUAAAAUUGAGCAUGACGAAAUUCAUUGCAUGAUGGCUUAAAUAUAAACAUUCAUUUCUAUUGUGCAUGUAUAUAUACAAUAUAGAUAGAGAAGAUAAAAAGAAAAAAUCAAAAUUGUAUGGCCAUUUUCUAAUAGUAGUUAAAAUAUACUUCAAAGGAACUUUUAAUAAUAUUAAUUUUUGAAAGAGCAAAGGUACUUUAAAGUUAAGUAAUUUUUUUGUUUUUUUAUUUUUAACACGAUUUAACUUCUCGACUUUUAUUUCUUGUAAUAUAUUUAAGCGCUUGAUUAAAUAAAACUAAUUGAAGUUAUUAAUUUUCAGAUAAAUUAUAACAAUGAUAGUUCAUCAAAAAAAAAAGAUUAAAAAACUAUUUUAUUUAAUAGUUAAUAAAAAUUUGUAUGCAAGUAAAAUAUACAGUCAAAUUACAUUUUGAAAAUAUUGCAUAGUUUGCCAUAUAGUUUAAAUAACAUAAUUUCUACAUUAUCUAUUACUCUGUUGAGUAUUAAGAAUUUAUUUUAAUUACAAAAUCUGCAAUUUAUUUAUUAUUAAUUGCUAUUUUCGAAUCUUAUGACAUAUGAAUGAGACUCGCAAUAUAUAUAAAUAAAGAAAGACAAAUAAAAAAGUUGAACGAGUAUUUUCACGAUCUUUUAUGAAGAUAUAUUUGAACAUGUUGACAUUAACUUUAGAUUUUCCUUAUUCAUGGACAUGCAUGAAUGCCAUGAGUCUGAGGCUAACGAGGAAGAGACGCGGCUGGAAUAAGCACGAGGAGCGGUCCUUUGUGCGUGCAAAAUUGAACAACAAGACGAGGAACGUUAGUCUUACUGCAAAAUGAAUGUUUCAUUUAUCUACCGGGAGACGUAUUAAUCUUUUGAACGAUUGUAUUAUAAAAAAGGAUCAAUUAUUAACAUAUAGUAUUAAUUUAAACUCUUUGAAUAUUCUGUAUAUAAAGUGUUAAUAUAUUCAUGAAUCUUUUGGAGA
Molecule: long non-coding RNA, 1964 nt
Organism: Apis cerana (Asiatic honeybee)
Lineage: Eukaryota; Metazoa; Arthropoda; Insecta; Hymenoptera; Apidae
Source: RefSeq, a predicted model, not a curated record